RNAcentral lists this ribosomal RNA (639 nucleotides) under Triticum aestivum (bread wheat). RNAcentral describes it as "partial small subunit ribosomal RNA". The record is from RNAcentral. Lineage: Eukaryota; Viridiplantae; Streptophyta; Magnoliopsida; Poales; Poaceae.
AUGGCUUGCCUAUGUGGAAAUUUUGCUGAGAUGGACCUAGGUCCCCCCUGUCACCCAUCUACUGCCUUCUUCCUCCCCAUCUCUUCAAUCUGUCACGCAGAGGACAGGAGCUCCGGUGGAGAGGUGCUCGCCGGCGGCGGCAAGGAGCGGUGCAGGCCAACACGCUCCCAUAACAGAAAACGCAUGCCACCACGCUCCGGUGGUGGAGAGGUGCUCAUCCACGUCACCCCCCUACUUGGUCGAAAGAGGAAAAGGAGGGCAUGCGCGUGGCGGCGGCCCUCUGGUCAUUCAAGGGCGGCGGUGGUCGGUGUUGGCGGCGUGGAACUCCGCGGUGGCGACGACGCUCGGGAGUUAGAGCGAGGAGGCAGGGUCGCGCAGCUAAGCUCCGGCGAGAUCCCACGCCGGUCAUGUCUGCGUCCACCUCUGGCGAGCGGCCACUUCCACGAUGCGGCCAGCAUACGCGUGCUGGUCUCCUGGAGGUGCUCGCUGGCGGCAGCCAGGAGAGGUGCUGGCCAGGUGUUACCGCUGCACAUGUCCUCAGUGGUGGCGGCGCCGGUGAUGUUCGUGUCCAGUGCUCACUCACGACGUGUUCGGUUAAAUGCCCGUACGGAAAAAAGAGAAAGAAAUAAAAAAAGAUGA